Molecule: long non-coding RNA, 883 nt
Organism: Zingiber officinale
Lineage: Eukaryota; Viridiplantae; Streptophyta; Magnoliopsida; Zingiberales; Zingiberaceae
Exons: 4
Source: RefSeq, a predicted model, not a curated record
UUUCCCCUUGCGUCGAUUUCCCUAAGCUUCUCGACACCUUCUUCUCUUCGACUUCACCGUCGCCGAGCUCUUCAUCUUCCCAUGCCUCGUCUUCUCUCUCGCUACACCAGACGCCACUGCCGACUCUCAAUCCGUCGGCUUCCCUUUCCUCUUCAACCAUCUCUGCACGGAGCAACGCCGACGCCCCUACAACCUUCCUCUCCCAAUUCUCUCCUAUUCAUCGAUGUGCCCUAGCUUUCAGCCCGAUUCCCUCUUCACUGGAGUAGGCCACGGUCCCAACUAGGUGCCACCUUCCUGCCACCACUAUUUCGUCAGAUCACUCUCUAAGCAACUAGCAAGGGUUAUUGUCUUGGAGGACCAGCGAUUUCGUUUAGUUCCGGCCAUAACACCAUCGACAACCAGUUGCUGCCUCUACUAGUGGCUGGUUUGAGUUGUGCCACCAUCGAUCGCUGAAAAAGAAGAGGCAAUGGUUUGGUAAUUAGAUUUUAUUAUAGAUUUAGGACUCUGAUUGAGACGACAUCACGAUGUAGGAUUUCUAGAUAUGAUCUUCUUUUGAGGUUGAAGCUGUCAGGAGGUUUCAGUUGCUAGUCCUCUUGUCACAAGAGUUUACGUAUUGGUCUUUUGGUAUUCUAUUUAUUUGCUUAGAGCUGUGUUUCGGACUUGCAUUGGUUUUGCACCCUGAAUUUGUAUGAUUUUUCUUAAGGCAUUGUAAUGGUUGGUCAUUUGCUUGUUUGGUGGGUUUCUAUUUGGUAUAUUUUGCUACGCGCCUGUCGGACAGUUGAAGAGGUAAGUUUGGAUGUUGUUUUCGAUUUUUUUUCAUAUUGUGAUGACAGCCGAAGGCUGAUAUAUUAUAACUGCGUGGAUUGUUUCAUUUUUGUAUGAU